AGAGUUUGAUCAUGGCUCAGAUUGAACGCUGGCGGCAUGCCUAACACAUGCAAGUCGAACGCGAAAGGGGGCAACCCCCGAGUAGAGUGGCGGACGGGUGAGUAAUACGUAGGAAUCUACCCAGUAGUGGGGGACAACUUAGGGAAACUUAAGCUAAUACCGCAUACGCACUACGGUGGAAAGCAGGGGAUCGCAAGACCUUGCGCUAUUGGAUGAGCCUACGUCUGAUUAGCUUGUUGGUAGGGUAACGGCCUACCAAGGCGACGAUCAGUAGCUGGUUUGAGAGAACGACCAGCCACACUGGGACUGAGACACGGCCCAGACUCCUACGGGAGGCAGCAGUGGGGAAUAUUGGACAAUGGGGGCAACCCUGAUCCAGCAAUGCCGCGUGUGUGAAGAAGGCCUUAGGGUUGUAAAGCACUCUCGGCAGGGAGGAAAAGCUCAAGGCUAAUAUCCUUGGGUCUUGACGUUACCUGCAGAAGAAGCACCGGCUAACUCUGUGCCAGCAGCCGCGGUAAUACAGAGGGUGCAAGCGUUAAUCGGAAUUACUGGGCGUAAAGGGCGCGUAGGUGGUUGGAUAAGUCGGAUGUGAAAUCCCCGGGCUCAACCUGGGAACUGCAUUCGAAACUGUCUGACUAGAGUUUGGUAGAGGGAAGUGGAAUUCCACAUGUAGCGGUGAAAUGCGUAGAUAUGUGGAGGAACAUCAGUGGCGAAGGCGGCUUCCUGGACUAAAACUGACACUGAGGCGCGAAAGCGUGGGGAGCAAAUAGGAUUAGAUACCCUGGUAGUCCACGCUGUAAACGAUGAGAACUAGACGUUGGAAGGUUUAACCUUUUAGUGUCGCAGCUAACGCACUAAGUUCUCCGCCUGGGGAGUACGGUCGCAAGACUAAAACUCAAAGGAAUUGACGGGGGCCCGCACAAGCGGUGGAGUAUGUGGUUUAAUUCGAUGCAACGCGAAAAACCUUACCUGCUCUUGACAUCUAGAGAACCCCGCAGAGAUGUGGGGGUGCCGCAAGGAACUCUAAGACAGGUGCUGCAUGGCUGUCGUCAGCUCG
RNAcentral lists this ribosomal RNA (1057 nucleotides) under uncultured bacterium. RNAcentral's name for it is "bacterial SSU rRNA". It matches the Rfam family "Bacterial small subunit ribosomal RNA", at positions 8 to 1062 of the family's 1533-position model. The record is from RNAcentral.